UACGUAGGGUGCAAGCGUUAAUCGGAAUUACUGGGCGUAAAGCGUGCGCAGGCGGUUAUGUAAGUCAGAUGUGAAAUCCCCGGGCUCAACCUGGGAAUGGCAUUUGAGACUGCAUGGCUAGAGUGUGUCAGAGGGGGGUAGAAUUCCACGUGUAGCAGUGAAAUGCGUAGAGAUGUGGAGGAACACCGAUGGCGAAGGCAGCCCCCUGGGUCAAGAUUGACGCUCAUGCACGAAAGCGUGGGGAGCAAACAGG
RNAcentral lists this ribosomal RNA (253 nucleotides) under uncultured Herminiimonas sp. RNAcentral's name for it is "partial 16S ribosomal RNA". It matches the Rfam family "Bacterial small subunit ribosomal RNA", at positions 524 to 776 of the family's 1533-position model. Lineage: Bacteria; Pseudomonadati; Pseudomonadota; Betaproteobacteria; Burkholderiales; Oxalobacteraceae. The record is from RNAcentral.